GGCUCAGGAUGAACGCUGGCGGCGUGCCUAACACAUGCAAGUCGAACGGAGUUAUAUUUAUGAAGUUUUCGGAUGGAAUAAGUAUAACUUAGUGGCGGACGGGUGAGUAACGCGUGGGUAACCUGCCUCAUACAGGGGGAUAACAGCUGGAAACGGCUGCUAACACCGCAUAAGCAUACAGCAUCGCAUGAUGCAGUGUGAAAAUAUUAAUAGGUAUGAGAUGGGCCCCGCGUCUGAUUAGCUGGUUGGUAAGGUAACGGCUUACCAAGGCGACGAUCAGUAGCCGGCUUGAGAGAGUGACCGGCCACAUUGGGACUGAGACACGGUCCAGACUCCUACGGGAGGCAGCAGCUAAGAAUCUUCCGCAAUGGGCGAAAGCCUGACGGAGCGAACCGCCGCGUGAACGAAGAAGGCCGUGAGGUUGUAAAGUUCUUUUCGGGAGGGGGAACAACCGUGGCAGGGAAUGGCCGCGGGAUGACGUGAAUCCCGGAAUAAGCCCCGGCUAACUACGUGCCAGCAGCCGC
Molecule: ribosomal RNA, 524 nt
Filed under: uncultured bacterium
Lineage: Bacteria
Description: bacterial SSU rRNA
Rfam family: Bacterial small subunit ribosomal RNA
Source: RNAcentral